RNAcentral lists this ribosomal RNA (267 nucleotides) under uncultured Glomeromycotina. Its description in RNAcentral is "partial 18S ribosomal RNA". It matches the Rfam family "Eukaryotic small subunit ribosomal RNA", at positions 619 to 888 of the family's 1831-position model. The record is from RNAcentral. Lineage: Eukaryota; Fungi; Glomeromycota.
UUAAAAAGCUCGUAGUUGAAUUUCGGGAUUUAUCCGUUGGUCGGGCUUUUGGGUCUGUACUGGCGUGAUGGAUUUCUACCUUCUGAAUAACCGGCAUGUCAUUAAUUUGGUGCGCCGGGGAAGCAGGACUGUUACCUUGAAAAAAUUAGAGUGCUUAAAGCAGGCUAUUGCCUGAAUACAUUAGCAUGGAAUAAUGAAAUAGGACGGCAUGGUUCUAUUUUGUUGGUUUCUAGGAUCACCGUAAUGAUUAAUAGGGAUAGUUGGGGG